RNAcentral lists this ribosomal RNA (2097 nucleotides) under Triticum aestivum (bread wheat). Its description in RNAcentral is "partial small subunit ribosomal RNA". Lineage: Eukaryota; Viridiplantae; Streptophyta; Magnoliopsida; Poales; Poaceae. The record is from RNAcentral.
AUGGGGAUCGACCUGAACAGCGUGGAGGAGGACGGGGAGGCGGCGGCUGUCGGCGUGUGCGGGGAGCUGUGGCACGCGUGCGCUGGGCCCGGGGUGGCGCUGCCCAGGCGCGGGAGCGCCGUCGUGUACCUGCCGCAGGCGCACCUCGCGGCGGGCGGCGGGGAGGCCCCGGCCCCGGCGCCGGCCGGGGCGCCGCGCGUGCCGCCCCACGUGGCGUGCCGCGUCGUCGGCGUCGAGCUUUGCGCGGAUGCGGCGACGGACGAGGUGUACGCGCGCCUCGCGCUGCUGGCGGACGCCGAGAUGUUCAGACAAAACGUCCGUGAGUCUGCAUCCGAAGAGGGGGAGGACGAGAUGGCCGGUGGUGACGGAGAGAAGAAGCCCCGUAUGCCUCACAUGUUCUGCAAGACCCUCACUGCCUCCGAUACGAGCACGCAUGGAGGUUUCUCUGUUCCUCGCCGGGCAGCCGAGGACUGUUUCGCACCUUUGGACUACAAGCAGGUCAGGCCUUCUCAAGAGCUCGUUGCCAAGGACUUGCAUGGCACACAGUGGAGGUUUCGCCAUAUUUAUAGAGGUCAACCUCGUAGGCAUCUUCUAACAACAGGCUGGAGUUCGUUUGUCAACAAGAAAAAACUUGUCUCCGGGGAUGCAGUCUUAUUUCUUCGAGGCGAUGAUGGUGAGCUAAGAUUGGGUGUACGGAGAGCAGUUCAGCUUAGAAAUGAAGCCCUUUUUAGAGCUGUCAACAGUAAUGAAUCAAAGCUGCACACACUAUCUGCUGUUGCCAGUUCCUUGGAAAAUAGAAGUAUUUUCCAUGUUUGUUUCGACCCAAGGAGUGGCGCAUCAGAAUUUAUUGUGCCAUAUUGGAGGUUCUCUAAGAGCUUGAACCAUCCGUUUUCCAUUGGAAUGAGGUUUAAAGAUUCCAAUGACAGUGAUGAUGCAAAUGAGAGGUCUACUGGAUUGAUUUCAGGUAUUAGUGAAGUAGACCCCAUAAGAUGGCCUGGAUCAAAAUGGAGAUGCCUACAGGUAAGAUGGGAUGAUGGUAACCAUUGCAACCACCAACGCAGGGUUUCUCCGUGGGAGAUCGAGAGAAUUGGUGGUUCAAUUCAAGUUAAUGAUUGUCUGUCAGCAUCCAGUUCGAAGCGAGCCAAAUUGUACUUUCCUCAAGGCAAUUUGGAUGCUCCAGUUACUGAUGGAAAUGAUUUUCCGGACCCGGUGGAAACAGGAAGCUUCCACAGGGUCUUGCAAGGUCAAGAAUUGUUGAUGGGCUCUAGGGCUCAGGGCGCCGCGCGCUCCCGGUCACCAGACGUCGCAAAGUUUCGCCCUCCGGAUCACCAGCGGUUCUCUGCAAAUGCGGGGAGCUACAUGCCGCAGCAGAGCCCGGCGGAGUUUCCCUACCAUUCCUCAGGCUUCGGCGAAUCCCUCGGGUUCCCAGAGGUCUUGCAAGGUCAAGAAAUGUCUCGAGCACUUCGCUUCUACUCCCAAGGAAGUGCUUUUGACGCCCGCGCGCAGCACGGCCCGUUCGGCUACGCGCAACGGUCAGCUGCGCCGGGUGGACUGUCGCCUGCAGCUCAAGGGUAUGCUCUCGGGCAGUUCACGCCGUCGUCGGCGGCGGCGAAAGUGUCCUCUCCCUCCUCCGUCCUGAUGUUCAACCAGGCGACGGUCCCGCAGUUCGACUUGGAAGGCAGAACCAGCGGCUACAGAGGCGCGUAUGGCGGCCAGUGUCCUCCCGGCAUAGAGAUGGUGAGGGAGACGGAGGAGGCCUGGCCGUGCGCACAGCGCCGGACGCCAAGCGUGACGGGGACGGGGUGCCGCCGGUUCGAAGAAUGGAUCAUGGCUUCGACUCCGGCGAGUGCUGACGGUGGCAGGCCCAGGUCGGCGGCUGCCGGAGACGUCGUCGGGCGGAGCAGUUGCAGGCUGUUUGGGUUCUCCCUGACUGAUCAGAAGGUGCUGGGAGGAGCAGGUGAGGGUGCUGCCAAGGAAGGGGACGCGGCUGAUGAGGCGGUGGAGUGCGCCGACCCGCGGGUGCUCGACUUGUUUGGGCGCGGCCACCCUGCCCCUGCUGCGCUGCAUGCCAUCGUCGCUGCUCCCCUGGGAAUGUGA